Molecule: ribosomal RNA, 514 nt
Filed under: uncultured bacterium
Lineage: Bacteria
Description: bacterial SSU rRNA
Rfam family: Bacterial small subunit ribosomal RNA
Source: RNAcentral
GGCUACGAGGACGAACGCUGGCGGCGUGCCUAAUACAUGCAAGUUGAACGCAACAAAGACACCAGAGCUUGCUCUACCGUCUUUGUUGAGUAGCGAACGGGUGAGUAACGCGUGGGUAACCUGCCUUAUAGCGGGGGAUAACUAUUGGAAACGAUAGCUAAUACCGCAUAACAAUAGAGAUUGCAUAAUCUUUAUUUGAAAGUGCCAACUGGUACACUAUGAGAUGGACCCGCGUUGUAUUAGCUAGUUGGUAGUGUAAUGGACUACCAAGGCGAUGAUACAUAGCCGACCUGAGAGGGUGAUCGGCCACAUUGGGACUGAGACACGGCCCAAACUCCUACGGGAGGCAGCAGUAGGGAAUCUUCGGCAAUGGACGAAAGUCUGACCGAGCAACGCCGCGUGAGUGAAGAAGGUUUUCGGAUCGUAAAACUCUGUUGUUAGAGAAGAAUGUUGAUUAGAGUGGAAAAUUAAUCAAGUGACGGUAUCUAACCAGAAAGGGACGGCUAACUACGUG